RNAcentral lists this transfer RNA (72 nucleotides) under Bacteriophage sp. RNAcentral describes it as "tRNA-Ala". It matches the Rfam family "tRNA". From Rfam's summary of the family: Transfer RNA (tRNA) molecules are approximately 80 nucleotides in length. RNAcentral also lists the same sequence under 1 other name. The record is from RNAcentral.
GGGCCGGUAGCAUAAUUGGGAAUGCGCUAGUUUUGCACACUGGAAGAUCGGGUUCGAGUCCCGCCGUGUCCA